UCGGGAAACUGCCUGAUGGAGGGGGAUAACUACUGGAAACGGUAGCUAAUACCGCAUAACGUCGCAAGACCAAAGAGGGGGACCUUCGGGCCUCUUGCCAUCGGAUGUGCCCAGAUGGGAUUAGCUAGUAGGUGGGGUAAAGGCUCACCUAGGCGACGAUCCCUAGCUGGUCUGAGAGGAUGACCAGCCACACUGGAACUGAGACACGGUCCAG
RNAcentral lists this ribosomal RNA (214 nucleotides) under uncultured bacterium. Its description in RNAcentral is "partial 16S ribosomal RNA". It matches the Rfam family "Bacterial small subunit ribosomal RNA", at positions 118 to 334 of the family's 1533-position model. The record is from RNAcentral.